UCGGUUAUCAUGGUACCGGUGCUGUGUGCAUGAAAGGUACAGUACUGUGAUAACUGAAG
Molecule: microRNA precursor, 59 nt
Filed under: Microcaecilia unicolor
Lineage: Eukaryota; Metazoa; Chordata; Amphibia; Gymnophiona; Siphonopidae
Description: Mun-Mir-101-P2-v1_pre stem-loop
Rfam family: mir-101 microRNA precursor family
About the family: The hairpin precursors (represented here) are predicted based on base pairing and cross-species conservation -- their extents are not known. In this case the mature sequence is excised from the 3' arm of the hairpin. This family also contains a predicted homologue of mir-101 from Tetraodon fluviatilis.
Source: RNAcentral